GGGGGUCAUAGCUCAGUGGUAGGGCUCCUGCCCUGCAAGCAGAAGGUCCCAGGUUCAAGCCCUGGUAUCUCCA
This is a non-coding RNA of Podarcis raffonei (Aeolian wall lizard), 73 nucleotides long. Lineage: Eukaryota; Metazoa; Chordata; Lepidosauria; Squamata; Lacertidae. The record is from the annotation of a RefSeq genome assembly.